This 224-nucleotide ribosomal RNA is filed under the name bacterium enrichment culture DGGE gel band 158. RNAcentral describes it as "partial 16S ribosomal RNA". It matches the Rfam family "Bacterial small subunit ribosomal RNA", at positions 981 to 1203 of the family's 1533-position model. The record is from RNAcentral.
UUGACAUCCCUUGCAUUACUCUUAAUCGAGGAAAUCCCUUCGGGGACAAGGUGACAGGUGGUGCAUGGUUGUCGUCAGCUCGUGUCGUGAGAUGUUGGGUUAAGUCCCGCAACGAGCGCAACCCUUGUCGUUAGUUACUACCAUUAAGUUGAGGACUCUAGGGGGACUGGCCGGGUUAAACCAGGAGGAAAGGUGGGGAUGAACGUCAAAUCAUCUUGCCCCUU